GCUGGGUGUGGUGGCGCACACCUGUAAUCCUAGCUACUCGGGAGGCUGAGGCAGGGGAAUUGCUUGAACCCAGGAGGUAGAGGUUGCAGUGAGUGGAGAUUGCACCGAUGCAUUCCAGCCUGGGUGACAAAGCAAGACUCUGUCUCCG
Unclassified non-coding RNA from Macaca fascicularis (crab-eating macaque), 148 nucleotides. It matches the Rfam family "Metazoan signal recognition particle RNA". From Rfam's summary of the family: The signal recognition particle (SRP) is a universally conserved ribonucleoprotein. It is involved in the co-translational targeting of proteins to membranes. The record is from Ensembl. NCBI's taxonomy places the organism in Eukaryota, Metazoa, Chordata, Mammalia, Primates, Cercopithecidae.